UUUCACAGCCAAAUCCCCCUGCAGCCCAAGACUGGUUACUCACUGACGCUACAGUAAGCAGGGCUGAGCCUGGUCAGUAACUGAAUGGGAGACCACAUGGGAAAACUAGGUUGCUGUUGGAA
Danio rerio (zebrafish) is the source of this 122-nucleotide ribosomal RNA. The record is from Ensembl. NCBI's taxonomy places the organism in Eukaryota, Metazoa, Chordata, Actinopteri, Cypriniformes, Danionidae.